AGAUCAUAUUUCUUACCUAUAAAGAGAUGGAUGAACAUAGCCAUUGAGCGAACUGCUUGGCAUGGUAAAUACAAACUACCCAACUACAUAGGUUUACCUAUGUUUCAAGCUCACUAUUUCUAAAUGUUCAAGAUUGUACAGUAUCUGAUCAUCUGGAUUCAAGUAGAGUACGUAGCGGCAUCAUUACAAGAUUUUUGCUAGAUGGUCAUAAGUCAUAACAUGUUUUCAGUGGCACUGGCAUUAUUCUGAUAAAAAGUAGUGAUGACAUUAAACAAAGAUAUUGCAGUACUUAAACAAUGAGGCAUACAUAAUAUGAAUAGGGGCCCAGAAACAUUGUAAGUAUGAAACGUUAGUUUUUCAACACAGUACAGUAAAUAAGGAACUCUUCGUUCAGACACAACCGAAGCAGUAGAAUGAUUAAAUCCUAUCAUCAAAUUCAUAGUCUAUUUGAUAUUUAGAUUCAGAGGACUAAGUUUUGAACAUUUACGCAGCUCACAUACAAGAAAUACCAGUGCUUUUCUACUUACCUACACAAAAAUCAGUAGCAGCGACAUCAAUUGCCAACUUAAUUCUUCCAUUAUAUCCAGCCCUUUCUAUUGCUGCUAUGACAAGAUCCAGGCCUUCAGAUAUGCUGAAAAUUGAUAAAGCAACAUAGAUACGUCAUUAGGGUAUAUAAGGAGAUCUCCUAAAAGGGAAAACAAGAAAUGAGUGGUAUCCGAAAUGGUAAACUAGUUUCUUACUUGCCUGGAAAUAUUUGGAGCAAAUCCACCAUGAUCUCCAAUGUUGCAACUCUCCGCACCAUAUUUCUCCAAGAUAAUAUCCUGUAAAAUUAAUUGGUAAGGAAAUAUCUACAAAACUGAGCAAGCCUUAGGGUCCAUGGUGUCGGUACUUUGCCUUAAGGGUAACCAACCCAAAUGAAGUAGUAGCUAAACUCAAAAGAAAAAGAAAAGGAGAAGGUAUCAGAAAGAAAGUGUGCAAUAUUAGGUUUUUAUUGAACACAAUCUUAUGCUGUUUGAUGAACAUUUUGAUCCAAGUAUGAGUGGAGAACAACAUUCAUGUUGCUGAGAACAUAAGAUCGUUAGAAGUUAAGGCUACCUUGAGAUGGUGAUAGGUCUCGGAACCCAUCUGCAUUGCUUCUUCAAAGUUCUUUGCACCAACAGGAAGGAUCAUAAUUUCCUACAAAUAAGAAAAGUUCACUUAUAUUUACUGCAGACUUAUAGUUAAUUAUAUUGAUAUUGUUGAUAUACAUGAACCACCGACUAUCUUAAUAUAUUUGUUAGGAUAAAAGAUGACUCAAUUGAACAAAAUAAGGGAAUAAUGCCUUCAACUUUUCAGAUACUAAGAAUAUUUUAGAAGAGAGCCUUCAGGAGCUUGCAGAGAAAUUGGUUCUGCAAGGCAAUUCUAAAAGUUUGGAGAAAUACUUGAAUGGGAAGACCAUUUCCAGCAUGCUUUCCACCAUUAAUGACUGUAAUUGCAGGGACAGGAAGAGUUGUAGCGCUUUUGCCAACAAGAUCUGCUAUAUGCUUGUAGAGGGGAACCUGAACGGCAACAAGCAUCCAAUGAUCCAACAAUAAGAGUUAUGUGCGGUGGCAUCAAGACAUUUUGACCUCAAACUCUGAUGAUUUUAGCAGAAAACCAGAACCUCUUUUUCAGCAGCACCAGCUUUGCAAGCUGCAAUUGAUACAGCCAGCAUAGCAUUUGCUCCAAGCUCAGCCUGCAUUUCGCACAGUAUCACAGUUAUUUCCAUUUGGAUAAAAUCCAUUAGCCAGAAAUAAUGGGACGAUUUAGGAUACAAAGAAUUUGAGGCAGUAGCUAUCAGUAGAAACACAUGUAGACAAGAACAUAGCAUUAUUUCCCAACUGAUCCUAAAAUUGAAUAUGCCAUUGUAAAGUAUUGCUCGAGCAUAUAGAGCCAUUAGUUGUUUGUGUUGUGUUACUCCACAACACCUAAGUGUGACAUGGGUUUGGCAAAUGCAGAAUUCAGGAACAAAACAACUCCAGAGGAGGGGAAGAGAAAGCGUCAGGAGUGCUGCACCUUGUGGCGCGCCUUGUCCAAGUCCAUGAUGGCCUGGUCGAUCUGCGCCUGCUGCUGCGGAUCCAUCCCCACGAGCGCCUCCGACACCUU
This 2124-nucleotide long non-coding RNA is filed under the name Setaria italica (foxtail millet). RNAcentral's name for it is "long non-coding RNA (SITA_LNC007271)". The record is from RNAcentral. Lineage: Eukaryota; Viridiplantae; Streptophyta; Magnoliopsida; Poales; Poaceae.